UCCAACUUAUCGCUGGCGGUCUCCUGAGAGUGCCCAACUCAAUGAUGGCAACACAGGACAGGGGUUGCGCUCGUUAUAGGACUUAACCUGACACCUCACGGCACGAGCUGACGACAACCAUGCAGCACCUGUGUGUCGGCUCCCUUUUGGGCACGCCUCCGUCUCGAGAGGCUUCCGACCAUGUCAAGGGUAGGUAAGGUUUUUCGCGUUGCAUCGAAUUAAUCCACAUCAUCCACCGCUUGUGCGGGUCCCCGUCAAUUCCUUUGAGUUUUAAUCUUGCGACCGUACUCCCCAGGCGGAAUGCUUAAAGCGUUAGCUGCGCCACUGGUGAGUAAACCCCCCAACGGCUAGCAUCCAUCGUUUACGGCGUGGACUAC
Molecule: unclassified non-coding RNA, 377 nt
Filed under: uncultured bacterium
Lineage: Bacteria
Description: contains 16S-23S intergenic spacer region
Source: RNAcentral